This 443-nucleotide long non-coding RNA is filed under the name Mytilus galloprovincialis (Mediterranean mussel). Lineage: Eukaryota; Metazoa; Mollusca; Bivalvia; Mytilida; Mytilidae. The record is from RNAcentral.
AUUUCUUAUAGCUAAAAAUGUUAUAUGUUGGUGUAUUUACGUUUAAAAACUAUAAAAUAAAGGUUCAAAUUAAGAACUAUCAAGGCACAUCGUGUAUUAACACUUGCAUUUUAUAAACAAGUAUCAACAUCAUAUAAAUUGCAUGUACACUAUAUAUUCGUGAUGUCAACAAUCUAAUGUAAGUGUUCCGGACCAUAUGAGUAUUUGGACCAUACGAGUAUGGUCAUGACCUAUGGGUAUAUACUUAUAUGGUCCGACCGUACGCGUACGAUCUGGUUAAUUAACACGAUUACGUUUAAUACUGGUAAACUCUUCAAAAGGUAUGACCAUUCUAGUUGUCACAUCAUUAAAAGACGAUAUAUCAAAUGUCAUUUUAUUAUAUAUUCUAUUUUAUUGUAUAGCAAUAUAAUAUUUCCCACAGAAAGUAACCAAAAGUUAGCGUG